Molecule: unclassified non-coding RNA, 587 nt
Filed under: uncultured Shewanellaceae bacterium
Lineage: Bacteria; Pseudomonadati; Pseudomonadota; Gammaproteobacteria; Alteromonadales; Shewanellaceae
Description: partial 16S-23S ribosomal RNA intergenic spacer
Rfam family: tRNA (bases 224-297)
Source: RNAcentral
CCUCCUUACCUAUACGACUAACUCAAUACCUAAAGUGCAGAGAUGCAUGUGAGUGUUCACACAGAUUACUUGAUAGAAGAAAGAGAAAGAUAUCGAAAGGUAUUUUUGAGGAUUUUGAUUGUUAAUCAAGGCGCUUGAGGAGGAAGGAAGGAUGUGUAGUACACUACAUGACGACCGAACGACGAAAGCAACGCUGAGUAACAGUGAAAAGACCAAAAAGAAUGGGUCUGUAGCUCAGCUGGUUAGAGCGCACCCCUGAUAAGGGUGAGGUCGGUGGUUCAAGUCCACUCUGACCCACCAAAUCUUCAUUUUAUCUGCGUUAAUUAAAUACUCGUUUAGUGAACUAAACGUCGCAUUGAAUUAACUUGUUUAAAAAUUCGAUUUUGGCUUUCGCCAAUCUUAUGAUUGGUUACUUUGAUAAUUUUAUCUCAACUGGCAUGUAAAUGGGGGCUAUUAGCUUCAACUGGGAAGAGCCGCCUGCCUUUGCACGCAAGGAAGUCUGCGGUUUCCAAUCCCCGCAUAACCUCCACCAUUUUACCCUUAUUCAAUGACCAAUAAAGCCUUAAUGCCAUUAGGGUUUAAGAAAA